RNAcentral lists this ribosomal RNA (643 nucleotides) under Paracoccus homiensis. RNAcentral describes it as "bacterial SSU rRNA". It matches the Rfam family "Bacterial small subunit ribosomal RNA", at positions 114 to 793 of the family's 1533-position model. Lineage: Bacteria; Pseudomonadati; Pseudomonadota; Alphaproteobacteria; Rhodobacterales; Paracoccaceae. The record is from RNAcentral.
CGCGUGGGAACGUGCCCUUUGCUACGGAAUAGUCCCGGGAAACUGGGUUUAAUACCGUAUGUGCCCUUCGGGGGAAAGAUUUAUCGGCAAAGGAUCGGCCCGCGUUGGAUUAGGUAGUUGGUGGGGUAAUGGCCUACCAAGCCGACGAUCCAUAGCUGGUUUGAGAGGAUGAUCAGCCACACUGGGACUGAGACACGGCCCAGACUCCUACGGGAGGCAGCAGUGGGGAAUCUUAGACAAUGGGGGCAACCCUGAUCUAGCCAUGCCGCGUGAGUGAUGAAGGCCUUAGGGUUGUAAAGCUCUUUCAGCUGGGAAGAUAAUGACGGUACCAGCAGAAGAAGCCCCGGCUAACUCCGUGCCAGCAGCCGCGGUAAUACGGAGGGGGCUAGCGUUGUUCGGAAUUACUGGGCGUAAAGCGCACGUAGGCGGACUGGAAAGUUGGGGGUGAAAUCCCGGGGCUCAACCUCGGAACUGCCUUCAAAACUAUCAGUCUGGAGUUCGAGAGAGGUGAGUGGAAUACCGAGUGUAGAGGUGAAAUUCGUAGAUAUUCGGUGGAACACCAGUGGCGAAGGCGGCUCACUGGCUCGAUACUGACGCUGAGGUGCGAAAGCGUGGGGAGCAACAGGAUUAGAUACCCUGGUAG